This 124-nucleotide ribosomal RNA is filed under the name Enterobacter ludwigii. RNAcentral's name for it is "partial 23S ribosomal RNA". It matches the Rfam family "Bacterial large subunit ribosomal RNA", at positions 2805 to 2925 of the family's 2925-position model. Lineage: Bacteria; Pseudomonadati; Pseudomonadota; Gammaproteobacteria; Enterobacterales; Enterobacteriaceae. The record is from RNAcentral.
UGAGACUUUUGAGACUUUAAGUCUCCUGAAGGAACGUUGAAGACUACGACGUUGAUAGGUCGGGUGUGUAAGCGCAGCGAUGCGUUGAGCUAACCGAUACUAAUGAACCGUGAGGCUUAACCUU